RNAcentral lists this ribosomal RNA (510 nucleotides) under uncultured bacterium. Its description in RNAcentral is "partial 16S ribosomal RNA". It matches the Rfam family "Bacterial small subunit ribosomal RNA", at positions 28 to 507 of the family's 1533-position model. The record is from RNAcentral.
GACGAACGCUGGCGGCGUGCUUAACACAUGCAAGUCGAACGAAGAGCGAUGGAAGCUUGCUUCUAUCAAUCUUAGUGGCGAACGGGUGAGUAACGCGUAAUCAACCUGCCCUUCAGAGGGGGACAACAGUUGGAAACGACUGCUAAUACCGCAUACGAUCUAAUCUCGGCAUCGAGGAUAGAUGAAAGGUGGCCUCUACAUGUAAGCUAUCACUGAAGGAGGGGAUUGCGUCUGAUUAGCUAGUUGGAGGGGUAACGGCCCACCAAGGCGAUGAUCAGUAGCCGGUCUGAGAGGAUGAACGGCCACAUUGGGACUGAGACACGGCCCAGACUCCUACGGGAGGCAGCAGUGGGGAAUCUUCCGCAAUGGACGAAAGUCUGACGGAGCAACGCCGCGUGAGUGAUGACGGCCUUCGGGUUGUAAAGCUCUGUUAAUCGGGACGAAAGGCCUUCUUGCGAAUAGUGAGAAGGAUUGACGGUACCGGAAUAGAAAGCCACGGCUAACUACGCG